CAGUAAAUAGUUUAAUAAAAAAUUUUAAUUUUGGAGAUUAAUAAUAAGCUUUGCUUUUUACUGA
This 64-nucleotide transfer RNA is filed under the name Tessaromerus quadriarticulatus. RNAcentral describes it as "tRNA-Pro". The record is from RNAcentral. Lineage: Eukaryota; Metazoa; Arthropoda; Insecta; Hemiptera; Urostylididae.